Neogale vison (American mink) is the source of this 245-nucleotide long non-coding RNA. RefSeq lists it as uncharacterized. The record is from RefSeq and is a predicted model, not a curated record. The transcript has 2 exons. NCBI's taxonomy places the organism in Eukaryota, Metazoa, Chordata, Mammalia, Carnivora, Mustelidae.
GGAGGGCAAGAGCGUCGACGAGAACUUUUUCCUGAGGUCAUAUGACAGCACUGCAGUAUGAGGAAGAAGAAAAGCACAGUUGAUUCCAUGGUUUGCUGAGAUGUGCUUUUUACAGUGGGGAUUAAUCUGAAUUAUCUGAGAAUGCUUACUGGAGGUUUAUAUAAGCUGAAGUGAAUGUUUCAAGAAAUUAACUGAUGCUGCAUUCUUCUGUAGAUUCUGACAAUAAAUUUAUACCUAAUAAUUCA